This 935-nucleotide ribosomal RNA is filed under the name uncultured bacterium. Its description in RNAcentral is "bacterial SSU rRNA". It matches the Rfam family "Bacterial small subunit ribosomal RNA", at positions 517 to 1450 of the family's 1533-position model. The record is from RNAcentral.
GCGGUAUACGUAGGGNGCAAGCGUUGUCNGGAAUUAUUGGGCGUAAAGAGCUCGUAGGCGGUUUGUCGCGUNUGCUGUGAAANCCCGAGGCUCANCCUCGGGCUUGCAGUGGGUACGGGCAGACUAGAGUGCGGUAGGGGAGAUUGGAAUUCCUNGUGUAGCGGUGGAAUGCGCAGAUAUCAGGAGGAACACCGAUGGCGAAGGCAGAUCUCUGGGCCGUAACUGACGCUGAGGAGCGAAAGCAUGGGGAGCGAACAGGAUUAGAUACCCUGGUAGUCCAUGCCGUAAACGUUGGGCGCUAGAUGUAGGGACCUUUCCACGGUUUCUGUGUCGUAGCUAACGCAUUAAGCGCCCCGCCUGGGGAGUACGGCCGCAAGGCUAAAACUCAAAGGAAUUGACGGGGGCCCGCACAAGCGGCGGAGCAUGCGGAUUAAUUCGAUGCAACGCGAAGAACCUUACCAAGGCUUGACAUACACCGGAAACGGCCAGAGAUGGUCGCCCCCUUGUGGUCGGUGUACAGGUGGUGCAUGGUUGUCGUCAGCUCGUGUCGUGAGAUGUUGGGUUAAGUCCCGCAACGAGCGCAACCCUCGUUUUAUGUUGCCAGCGGGUUAUGCCGGGGACUCAUAGGAGACUGCCGGGGUCAACUCGGAGGAAGGUGGGGAUGACGUCAAAUCAUCAUGCCCCUUAUGUCUUGGGCUUCACGCAUGCUACAAUGGCCGGUACAAAGGGCUGCGAUACCGUAAGGUGGAGCGAAUCCCAAAAAGCCGGUCUCAGUUCGGAUUGAGGUCUGCAACUCGACCUCAUGAAGUCGGAGUCGCUAGUAAUCGCAGAUCAGCAACGCUGCGGUGAAUACGUUCCCGGNCCUUGUACACACCGCCCGUCAAGUCAUGAAAGUCGGUAACACCCGAAGCCGGUGGCCUAACCCUUGUGGAAGG